RNAcentral lists this small RNA (107 nucleotides) under Marmota monax (woodchuck). The record is from RNAcentral. Lineage: Eukaryota; Metazoa; Chordata; Mammalia; Rodentia; Sciuridae.
GCCAGGAGCGGUGGUGCACACCCGUAAUCCCAGCUACUUGGAAGGCUGAGACAGGAGGAUUGCAAGUUUGAGGCUAGCCUGGACAACUUAGUGAGACCUUGUCUCAA